UACGUAGGGUGCAGGCGUUAAUCGGAAUUCCUGGGCGUAAAGCGUGCGCAGGCGGUUUCUUAAGUCAGAUGUGAAAGCCCCGGGCUUAACCUGGGAACUGCGUUUGAAACUGGGAGACUUGAGUGUGGCAGAGGGGGGUGGAAUUCCACGUGUAGCAGUGAAAUGCGUAGAUAUGUGGAGGAACACCAAUGGCGAAGGCAGCCCCCUGGGCUAACACUGACGCUCAUGCACGAAAGCGUGGGGAGCAAACAGG
Molecule: ribosomal RNA, 253 nt
Filed under: uncultured bacterium
Lineage: Bacteria
Description: partial 16S ribosomal RNA
Rfam family: Bacterial small subunit ribosomal RNA
Source: RNAcentral